Molecule: long non-coding RNA, 249 nt
Organism: Cervus elaphus (red deer)
Lineage: Eukaryota; Metazoa; Chordata; Mammalia; Artiodactyla; Cervidae
Exons: 3
Source: RefSeq, a predicted model, not a curated record
UUUCACAAGGCAAAAGAAAUAAAAGCAAAACAAGCAAAUGGGACCUAAUCAAACUUAAACACUUUUGCACAGCUAAGGAAACUAUCAAUAAAACAAAAAGACAACCUAUGGAAUGGGAGAAAAUAUUUGCAAAUGAUGUCACACUAAUGGGAAAAAGUGAAGAAGAACUAGAGCCUCUUGAUGAAGGUGAAAGAGAGUGAAAAAGCUGGCUUAAAACUCAACAUCCAAAAAACUAAGAUGAUGGCAUAC